GUACUGAAGAAGAAGGUGUUCAUGUGUAUUCACUCACAUAAUUCACUCUAUGAACUGCUAAGCACCUAGCUGGAACGGGAACAAGCUCGACCUCCGCAAUGCGUACCACCUGGUGCGGAUCCAGACGGGGGACGAGUGGAAGACGGGGUUCAACACCCCCCUCGGCCACUUCCAUUAUUUAGUUAUGCCGUUUGGACUCACUAACGCCCCUGCUGUGUUCCAGGCGUUGACCUUCUGGAACACCAGCGUCAUGUCCGGAUGGUUCUCCAGCGCCUACUGGAGAACAACUGUUUGUGAAGGCAGAGAAAUGUGAGUUCCACGUAACCUCUGUUCGGUUCCUGAGGUUCAUCAUCGAGACGGGUCAGGUGAGGGCUGAUCCGGAGAAGGGAACGGAGUGGUCGACCCCCUCCUCUAGGAAACAGCUCCAGCAGUUCUUGGGGUUUGCGAACUUCUACCGCAGCUUCAUACAAAACCCGACACCCUCUCUCGCCAGUUCUUCCCAAACGUCACUUCUCCUUUCCUGGCACCAUAUGUGGCAACCUGUGUGGCAGCCUCUCUCACCCCACCUUUGUUCCUCCGCCUGCACGCUCCCAAGUGCUCCAAUGGUUUCAUAACUCCCGGUUCUCCUGUCACCCGGGCGUCAUGCGUACCACCGACAUGCUCCGGCGGACUUUUUGGUGAAAGUCGCUGGAGGCAGACACCAGAGCAUUUGUCCUGGCCUGCUCCAUCUGUUCACGCAACA
Molecule: long non-coding RNA, 742 nt
Organism: Cyclopterus lumpus (lumpfish)
Lineage: Eukaryota; Metazoa; Chordata; Actinopteri; Perciformes; Cyclopteridae
Exons: 3
Source: RefSeq, a predicted model, not a curated record